CGCGGCCGCUGGUAACAGCUGCCGUGAUGGGGCAGGAGUCAGCAAAAGCCAUAGUAGGCGUAGGACGCCGCCAUCAGCGAUCUGGCGGCUGGACACAAGCCCGGGAAAGUCCGGGACGACUUACCCCGCCGAAGGGC
This is a non-coding RNA of Geobacteraceae bacterium GWC2_58_44, 137 nucleotides long. Lineage: Bacteria; Pseudomonadati; Thermodesulfobacteriota; Desulfuromonadia; Geobacterales; Geobacteraceae. The record is from Rfam.